Molecule: unclassified non-coding RNA, 11130 nt
Filed under: Leishmania donovani
Lineage: Eukaryota; Euglenozoa; Kinetoplastea; Trypanosomatida; Trypanosomatidae
Description: gene:LdHU3.04.0790(CDS-product:hypothetical_prote in_conserved)
Source: RNAcentral
UUUUUCAUUUAUGUGUGCGCGGGGUGUGCAUGACUGGAAACGCACACACCCACACAUUCACAGCCAUCGUUUCCCCGUCGCGCAUCUUUCCUCGCUCUUCACACCACAGUUGUCGGUGCCUCCAGCAACUCAGGCAGCUCGCCCCCAUCCUCGUUCCACCACCUACCCACCCACCCCCUCUCCUGUGUCCAACAAGUCUGCGCGCGCUUACUUGUGUGUCUGUGGAUGGGCAGUGGUGGGUCCAUGUGAGUGUACCUGCACAAGACACGACAAGGACAAAGUCAGCGCGUGCCUCUCCCCACGCAGCCCUCCUCCCUACCCCACCCCCAACACGCAGACAGCACUCAGUGGCGCAGUCUUCUAUACAUGCAUAUGCAUAUAUAUACGUCUACGCAUACACUCCCGCGCACAGCCACGCGCGCACGCACCCACACAAGGCGCAGAGAGAGAGAGACGUGUAGGCCCCGUAACGCGUGUGCUUCGCUCACGCACUCUGCCCCCUCCCUCCCCGUCCCUACCUCCCUCUCUCUCGUAUAUACACACACGCACAUACACGUUACCUCUCCCUUGUUGUCGACGCCGUCGGUGCCACAGUGGGCUGCUGCUUCUUGUUUGGUUGGUUUAUCUUAUACUCACCCCAUCCGUCCUUCUGCUGCUGCUGCUACUGCUGCGUGUCGUCACCAACCUCCCUCCUCCCCUCCAUAACCCUUCUUGCUUUCUCCCAUCCACUUUUCUUUCUGUGAUUCACCACCACACCUUCUCCCUUCCUCAUCAUCAUUCUUCUCUCAUUCAUUCUUUCCUCUGCUUCAAUCGCUGCGACGUGCGAGAGGCGUUUCCGCUGCGUUGUCGGCACCUCUGCGGGCAGUCACCGUCUCGCUGUCGUCGGCAGCGCUUGUCUACAUGCGCGAGCGCCUGUGUACGGAUGGGUAUGUAUAUUGGAGUGCCAUACCGCUCCCUCUUUUGCGAGUGAUCACUCUCGCUUUCGUCGACAGCCCACUCGCACACUCGCACUCGCACUCCGUGCGUGUGUGUUGCCGUCUUCCAUUCCCUUCCCUUCCUCCUUUUGAGCUUGAAGACCAGCGCAGCGACACACCACAGAGGGUGCAGCAUGACGAAGCUGGCGCAGGUGUGUCUUGUAGCACUCGCUGGCUACGUCCUGGCUGGUCUUGUCGGCACCUAUUUCUCGUGCGCUUCCGCCGCCUGCACUGCGUUCGGCAGGUGCAGCCGUGGUACUGCAUUGUGCACUACGUGUGCUAUGGAGGUUUUCUCGCCUACUUGAUGAGCGCCGGGUCGAUGCGACGUUGCCGCGGCAGUCAGGACAUUGGUAAACGGACGGCCUCCCUAUGGGGCGCCUCCUCGCAGCUGCUGCCGCAAUGGACAAUGACAUCAGCCGGCGCGUUGCCGCCACAGCUCGACAGGGCACAGUCAGCUUCGCAAUCCUCGUCAGCGUCGAGAGUGUGGCAAGUGUGUGUGCUGCUAGGUCAGGUGGUCCUCGAUGCUUUCUUGAGCCCUUGGACAGAGGUUGUACCAGCGUCGCCUUCGCCGGCGGCUGCAACAAGGAUAGUGCGUCUUUACGACAUCUACGAGCCUCUCCUGCAGGCCAUCGCCGCCACGGCGUUCUUCAGUAGCUUCGCCCUGCUGUGCAACGCGCGAUGGCGCUACGCAGUGAUGGGCACUGCUGAACGGCAUCCCGGCCUCUGGAGCGCCAUCGUGGGUGUCAACACUACUACAGCUACAGCAGCAGCGUUGGCGCGGGCGACUGAAGAGGCGAACAAGGACGGCGCUUCCAUCCUCGAUGGAACAAGCACCUACGCCGCCGUCGUAGCCUCUCUGUCGCCUCCCAUGCGUCGAGGCUCCGUCGUGGCACCUCGAAUUCUUGUCCAGCGAUCCCUCGCGGCGCAGCGUCGGCAUUCAGCACGUGCGCCCUCGUACGUAAAUCGUGCUCGCGAUCGUGGUGACAGCACCCAAGUCAACCUCGCAGACAGCGGCGUCAGCACGCGCAUCUCCAUCUCCACCCCUGGUGCAGAGGACGUGUGCGGAGGCGGCGACCUUCCCGCCACCGUCCGCGCCAAUCAGGUGAAGCGUGCUACUGGCGGCCUCGAGGCAGCGGCCGCGGCGGCGGCGAGCAUGGACGACGUCCUUGUGGAGGAUGCGACGCUCAGAGGCAGCCGGCGCAAGUCCUGGCGGCGCAGCGUGCGUCCUACACGACCGCAGCAACAGCAGAAGCGAGCCCCAUCUCCUAUCAACGACGAUUACGAUGACAUCGACGACGAUGACGAAAAGAUGUGGAAUAGCGUGGAGCCCGGCAGCUCGGCCAGCCACUUUACCUCCUCGUCCCUCUUCAGAGAUAAUGAGGACCCAUCAAGCACCAGCAGAAGCCUGUGGCGUCGGCUGAUGCGCUGCUCCGGGCGGCGCCUGUUGCCUUUCAGUGCUUGUGUGUGCGAAGAGGGACAGGAGCGUACCAGCCGAAACGGCAGUUCUGGUGAUGGUGGUAGGGGCCGCUCGUCUCGUGAACGGCACCGUCAUCUCCAGCACUUGCGCCAGCGGCUGCUCGCCGCUUUCUGGUUGAGCGACGCCGUGGUGGUUCUUCUAACAUUCCUGAUGUUUGCUCUGUUAGCGGUGGCCCGCGUCGCCGCCGCCACGGCGACGGCGUCCGCCUGGGCGGCUGUAGAAGCGUCGAAGACGCAAGGGAGUUCUGGGCUGGAGCGUGGAAGACGUGGAGGUCAGCGACUGCUCACAGCCACUGCAGCCGCAGCAGCCGUCCCAUGCCCCACAGAGGGCUUUGUCGGCGUAGCUGGGCUGUUACUGCUCGCUGCGGAGCGGGUACUUGUGGGCCGCUGGAUGAGACUGCCCGGGCAGCUUCUUGCCUCGGUGUCUGCGGCCGCUGCGGCUGCGUCAGUCGAAACGCCCGCCGCACGCCAGCAGCAACUUCGGCCGCGUCUGCCGUGUCGCAGCUGGCGGAGGCUAGGCAGCAGCACAUUUCGCAGCAGCCUUGAUCUCUGGCACCUUCCGUCCACUGGCCGGCUGCACGGCGUGGAGACGGCAGGAUCUGCCGCGAUGAGCGCAACCGCAACAGCCGCUGUGGCGUCGAUGACGCCAGUGCCGUUCCACUUUCGGCAUGUGUUGACGGUCGCUCUACUCCUGCUGAUGCUGCAGUUCUUUUCAGACGCCGCGUGGGCGUGGGCGGCGGCGGUGCUGCUUACAACGGGGAGUGCGGUAGCCAACCUCGUCGACGCCGUCGCGGACUCGCUGCGUUGGGUGUCCACGGAGUACCGCCGCCUUUUGUGUCGCACGUGGUGGGAGCUCUUCUUCUCAUUCUCCUUUACACCGGCCUCCCUCGAGUCCGUGAACGCGCAGGAGCAGCACGUGGCAGGCUCCAUGCCGGCAGCAACGCCGGGGUCGAUCGGUGGUCUGGGUUUGCCAGCGGCGGUGGGCAGGGAGCUGCUGGUGAGCCGGGGCAACAGCGUCGGCAUGGCAGUCAGCGCCACCGUGAUGCCGCCGUUUGGCAGUCGUCUCCGUCGCCACUCCAUCGCCCAUCGAAGUGCGCGCCUGAUGAAGGCUGGCGGGGGUACAGGCCCGCUGUGGAUGGUGCGCCGUCUCGGGGCCUCCUUCGCCGGCACAGCCGUUGACUCCGCCUCUUCUUUGUCCCCUCCCUCAGCUGUGACGGCAACGGCAGCGACAGUGCUGGAAGAAGGCGCAACCAGCGUCGUUGUGGGCAAAGACCGGGAAGACGAUGGGCUCCUCAGCGGCGACGCACCAGGCUCACACGGCGUAGCUGGAGGCGGCGCGGCCGUGGUGACGGCCAUCUCGCCUAUGCAGUUCUGGCACAGUGUGGCGGCGAAGGUGCUGCAGCAGUCUGGCAAGGCCACGGGCGAAGCGGCAGAGCCUGGCAGUAGCAGUUCACACGCUCUUGGAGGUGCUGAAGACGUGAACGGCGUCGGGGUAGUUCCCACUGUCGCCGCCGCCUUGCUGCACCCGAUGCCGACUGUCAAUCCUCUGGCGAUGCUUUCACCGACGCCGGGUAUGGAGCACUUGAGCUCCGCGUCGGCCCGCUUCACACGCGAGAACCUAAAGGGAUCGAUGCUAUUGACGUUGCCGACCGUCGCACGCGUGGGCGGGAAGGCCGAGGCAGCGGAGCUGGACAUGCGAGAACGACUGCUCGCGAUGGAGCGCGCGGAGCUCCGGCAUGAGGAAAGGGCGAUGCGGGCACAGCAACUGUCUGCCUCAGACACGAUGGCAGCCGCCUCGACGCUUUCCGACGAGAACGAAGAGAAGUUGCACGCAGGUAACCCUCCUGCGCACUCGGUGGUGCCAGGCGCUCGUGAGCACGCGGGCCAUCACGACGACGAUGGUGGGGCUCUUGAGAAUGCAAGAGAAGCCCAGCAGCAGCAGUCUGUCACGCAAGAUGGAUGGCUUUCGCGGGCGCUGGCAACUGUGGUGCCCGGCUUCGCUGCGACACGCUGCUGCAGCUGUGAGGGCGACGGUGUGCCGAUAUCGUCACUGUCGACACAGCUGGACUCCACCUCGACAGUGUUGAACGUGUCCUUCAAUGAGAACUUAUCGCUCAGCUCCUCGGCAACGCGUGCGUGCAUCAACGAAGAGGAAGGCUUUGCGCGCUUCCUGGAUUGCGUGCGUCGCGACGGCGACAACACGUACGCCCUGCAGAGUUUACUGGCGGUUUACGGCCACACUUAUAGGCAUCGGGUGGACGCCAAGGGACGCGGCGCCUUGCACUACGCAGCCAUGGGAGGGUUUGUGCAGGGGGCGAUCUUUCUCAGCCGCAUCGGCGCUGAGCCGAACAUUCUGGACAAGGCCGGCUACGCGCCGCUGCACUACGCAGUGCUCUACCGCACCGAAGUCCACACGUCGCCGCGCAUCACGACCGAGUCGCCGAGCACAGCCGUGCAAGGGGCCCGACAUGUCGUAGGCAUACCUAUCGUGGAAACCACUGCCGUGCAAGCUGCCGCGCAGGCGACAAGACGUCGGCGACGCGACCAGCAGCAGCGACUAAAGUGGGUUCAAGCACAGCUGCAGGCCGCCUACUCGGCUGGCAGCGACGCAUCCAGUGGAGUUGAAGGCCGCAACAGCAGUGGCAGGAGCCCACAGGAGACCACGCUCACGAAGACAGGGAGAGAGACCUCCCUGCGCACCAGGAGCGACCCGGUGACCACAAGUAUACCUGGCAAGCCGCUUGCUGUCUCGCCACUCCAAAUCUUUACGCCGUCAUCGCAGCGGCCGCUGUCUUCCAUGGGCGUCGGUAAUGCGGCCGCUGGAAGCACAAGCAGCGCCGUACGUGGCCUGAACCCAGCGGCGAUCCCAGCAACAGCCACGGCUAUUCCGGCGGCGGCGGCAGCAGCUGCCGCGGCUGUCGUGGAGCCGGAGGAGGGGCACUGGUACGGCAUGGUAGGGGCACUGGUGCGUCUCGGCGCGCAAGUCGACCUCCCCAGCGCAAAGGGGCUGACGGCGCUGCACCUGGCCGUGAUGCAGGGGUCCGUUGGGCUCGUCAACACCCUGCUGCGCGAAGGCGCGAACCCGCUGCUGGGGCCGGAGCUAGAGACACGGUCACUCGCCUCCAUCAUCAACGCGGCCUCGUGUUGGGAGAGCGACAAGGAAAACACGGAAGUUCUCAUGAAAGGUGCCGGCAAGACGGCUGCGCCGUGCAGCUCUGGCGGGCAAGCCAACGACCAGGUCGCAACACAUCCCACGCAGCAGCAGCAGACGUUGUCAGACACCCCACAGUGUACCAGCAACAAGGGAAGGGACACAACAUCUCUCGUGUCGAGCGAGAACGACAACUCGCGCACGGCACUGGGGGACGCCAGUGGCUCUCUUGCGCUCUUCACGCAGCACUGUGAGUGGGUGGACAUGCACAUCACCAACGCCGGUAAUCCCAUCGUCAACGGGCACUGCAAGUCGCCGCUGCUGCUUGCUGUGGAGCUGGACGCGGAUUUGGCAGUAGCCAGUAUGCUGCACUGCGUUGCCUUGCAGGCCACCACGGCUCGGGUGGUGGCCGGACUUUCGCAGAGUAUGGUGGCUGCCCCACGUAUGUUCGAACGGCCGCCGUCGGCGCUGCUGGCGGCUCCUCAAGGAGCCGCGUCGCAAGCGCAAGGCUGUCCGCCACUGGCGUCGCUGCCUGUCGCCGCCGCCUCUGGUGAUCUGCCCACCUCUCCUGCACCGCGAUCCCGCGCCUUUGCGGCGUCGGCGGCGCAUCCGCUGGCUGACAACGGUGCGGGAGACGCCGCCAUGGCGCUUCCGUCGCCGAUGUCGGCAGCCGCCGCCGCCUUAUCUACCAGCUGUAGCAGCACCAAUGUGCGCCGGCCAGGAAGUCGGCGGAUGUCCCCGCAUACGCCUGGUAUCGCGGAUACCAGCUUCUCCUCAAGCACCACCACCACCAUCACCGCCGCGGCCGCCAUACCCAAUUCGCCAUCCACGCGAACUUGGUGGGAGCGGUGCUGCCUCCACGGCUUCAACCCUGUGCACAUCGCUCUGGUCCUUGGCAACGCGCAGGUGGCACGGGUUCUGCUUCUACGGUGGUGCUACACCGAGGAUGUCGCGCACAACCGUGACGCCGCCGCGGCUCCGCACAAGUGCGUGAGAGAUGCAGAGAAGCUGGGCGGAAGGGCGCGCGAGUUGAGCUCGAACGAACCGCGGACGACCAUUAGCACGACGCCGGCGCUACCAGAAAGUGCACUGGCGACGACAACGACGACCGUGCCGCCGUUGCUGUCCUCUCAGGCCACGGCGGGACCUGACGUUACAGAUAGCACCCUACUGGACUUCGCCAGUGGUGCGAACAUCAGUUUCCAUGUGGACGGGUUAGCGGCGGAGCAGCAACAGCAGCAGCCAGUGCUGGCGCACGUCGCAGCCCCCCUCUCUGAGGAGGCGGACGGGUGUUCACAGUAUACGAGUGUGAGUGGCGAAGCAGCCGCAGCAGCAGCUCCCACCGCGGCCAUUUCCCUCGGCUCCUCCACCGGCCCCGCCGCCUUCUGGGUGCGGUCGCUUCGCCUGAACCUAUUCCACCUUGCGGCCGUGGGCGAUUCGACGGAGUGCCUCGCGUACGUGCUGCGCUGGCGUGGCGCGCCAGACUACGUUCCGUGUGCGCUGGACGAGGUCUUCGAGAAUGAGCAGCGCGCUGAAAGUGUCCGGCGGGAGUCAGCGACGGCGACGCAGGACGCGUACCAGCGUCGUCGACAGCGGAGGCGGUUACGCGCCUAUCAAAGUAGCCAAGCUGCUUGCGACCUCGCUGGGGUAGCCGAGUCCUUGGCCAUGGUGGCGGCGACUACCGAGCCGAGCGCGCCCAAUAUGGAGGAGUACGUCUUCCCUGCAGAUGCGGGCAGCAGCAGCGCAGGCGCACCUGGAGUCGGCCACAUGAUGGCGAGCGGUGGAGGUGCGGCUGCUGCGGAAGCAGCACCUCUGCUGGAAAAGAUGGUUGAACUAGACGACUUCUCCAGGUCGCCCUCCUCACUGCCUGCUGCCGCCACGACGAGUGAAGUUGUCGUUGGAAUCGAGGAGGCACUGCAACGGUCUCUGGGGCCGUCCUCGACGGAUCCAAGCAGAACAUGCACAACCGAGAUGUCUUUCAAGAGCGACACGGACGUCAUUGCCUCCAGCUCCACCUCGGACAUCUUCAACCACACGUGGAGCAGUGCCACGCUGUCUGCUGAAUCAAACGAGGUCGCCAGCACGGCAGGGGCGCCGACAACCCCGCCGCGAGAGCGACGCACGCGAGCCAAGCAGCAGGGCUUCGUGCGCGCUCUUGUCACGCUACUGCAGACCAACAUUCGCGUCGACGCGGUGCGGCGUCGGGUGCGCAAGACUGUGUUCGGCAGCAGUACCUUUCGGAAGACGACGUCACCCCGGCGUGUCAACUCGCGUCGUCAGUCAUCGCAGCGUCCCCGCAUGGGCGGAGGAGAUGACGAGGACGGUGACGGCAGCAACGACAACACCGUGAUGGCGAAGACCUGCUUUGGCUCUAUCUCCGCAGCUGCAGCGCUGCACACUGGCAUGGCCGUCUGCUACGCAAGCAUGGACCAUCCCCCUCGCCGCCGCAAGAGAGGUGAAUACGGUAGCGAGAAGGACGCUGACGGAUCCAGUUCGCGCAGCAGCAGCAGCAGCAGUAGCAACCACGAAAACGUGAAGUGUCACAUUGUUGAGGCGCCCGGUGCACCCCGAGAGCUGUACCGGCGAGCCAAGGGGGCGGAACGGCCUCGCCGCCUGCGCCAGCAGCGCACCCGUGCCUUCGUUUCGGCAGUGGCGAAGCUGCGCCACUGCAUCGCCGGCGUCCCGAUCGACAUCACCCACCUCGCGGCGGUGGAGACAGCGGUAGAUCGGGCCUGUGCACAGAUGGCCUCCUCGAGUGCCCGUCGCGCCCUGCAGCAGGCGCUGCUGAUUGUGACUCGGCGCCUGCAGAAUCAGCACCGCCGCGCGCAGCUCGUCACGGGACUCAGUUGUGUCGCAGCAGCCGCGACGGCAGCGAUGGAGGCUGCGGCCGCCCAGGACGAUGGCCAGGCGUCUCGCGCAGAGAGUGAUGACGAGCCGACAACGAUCCCCACAACUUUGGCCGCCGUGGAGGCGUCAACGGGCGAUGUCGGCGGCAACAGGGACAGCGUCAGCGCCGGUACGAGUGAAUCUCUCAUCAGCAGCCUCAGUCGAAGCAGGCAGCGGGACAGGGCCACGGAAGCAGCCCACCACCACCACCAUCACCGCCAUCGCUGCUCAUCUCCGUCCUGCCCUUCUCCGGACUCGGCCUCCGCGCUGUCCUACUACAGCUCCCUUCACUCAAUCAUCACCACUACCACGACGACAGUGCGCGGGUCUUCCCCGGCUGCGCCGGAUGAGCGCGCCUCGGUUUCCGCGAGUGACGAAGAGAAGCCCCGCGGACGUAGGCAGCACAGACAGCAGAGCACGCUGCGGCUUCUGCGCACACUGAGUGCGGAGCUCAACGCUCUCGACACACGCGGGCUGACCCCGCUGCACUACGCCAUCGCCAACCAGAACGCGAGCAUGGUGUACCUGCUCUGCGCCUACGGCGCCACGUUCGUCUUCGCAUCGGAACAGACGGAGGCGCAUUUAAUGGGGCGCUCGGCAGAGGUGAUCGCUGCCGCGGCCGCGGUUGAGCACCAUACUGACGACUGCGACAUGAUGACCGUAGCCGCAUCCGACACCCAGCCUGCUGCAAGCCAGGACGAGCUGCAGAGUACCACGGCCCCCACCGAUUUCAUGUCACAGGCGAGGUCAUUGCCGACUGCGUGGGCCUACGCGCGUGCGCAGCUAUCGUCACCGUCCAUCAACGUGUCCACGGACACCCUUUCGUCCUUUGGAAAGCGCUACUACGCGCAGCUGACACCGCCAAUGCAGGAGGCGCUGCGGCGGGCCGCCAAGACAGGCAGUGCGGAGUAUCUUCUCUGGAUGCCGACCCAAGAGGACCGCGAGGCAGAGCGGCAGCAACGGAAGCUUCUCUCCCCGCUGCCCGUGUCUGAAGCGAGGGAUGCGGUACCCACCAACCCCCAGCGUUCCGUGUCACUGCUUGCGCCUCACGCGGUGUUGUCGCCCGCUGCCCCGACCACCACUGUCAUGAGCGCCACUGUUGCUAAAAGAAGUUCGCCGGCAAACGCCCAACUGCACUCGGCAUCACCCGUGAUGGUGCCCGCCUCGUGCUUGACGGUCGCCUCACAGCGGCCCACAACGAUGGCCGCUACCUUGACGGCGGCACUGGGCAUCAGCGACGCCGAUGUUGCGACACGCGCCGCGGCGACCGCGCCCGAUGCUUUCCUGAGCACUGAGGAGCCACUUGCAAAGGCCUCAAUGAUGACGGGCAGCGUGAAGGACGGCAGUGGUGGCGGGGAUGCGCUGGGCGCACAACUGCAGACACACCUUAUCCACCAGGAUAUCAAAACACUGCAGUCCAUGAUCGCAGGCAAGGCUAGCAGCAAAGUCAACGGCGGCAGCGGCGAAGACCUUGCCGCCUGUUUGCACCCGCCUCCUCAGCGCCUGCGAGCCAGCCCCAAUGCAGACGUGAGCCUGGAUGAAGCCAAGGACGAGGCGACGGUGGCAGCGAACUUGAUGGCGGGAAGGUCUUUCAAGCAAGACGUCGCCCGAGAAACACCACGGCAGCCCAACGCGUCGUCGUCCUCAGCACCGAAAACCUCAGCCGCGAUGCGCACACCAGCGGCUGCGACCUCCGUUGGCGCUGAAGGUACGGGCUCCACAGGGAUCACGGAGCUUACGCGGGGUGCGCGUGGCGCGGCCGUGCCGCCCUCAUCCCCAUCUUCCAAUGCCGCCGCCGCGGCUGUGGAGUACACGCUGCUGGAGCCGCACGAUGUGUUCAUCACGCACGUCGUACGCAAUCCAGCCAAGGCGGAAAGUAUCAUGCGUGCGGCCAUGGAAGGGACAGCGCUGCGCUACUUGUUUCUUGCCUCCGUCGUCUCGGGAGACAGCCUGUAGCGGGGUGCUAGGAAGCGAGCCAUCAGCUGUGCUCACCGGUGUCGGCGAGCCGGUUCUCGUAUGGGAAGGACGAUGGAUGUUGACUUUUUUUUAAUGCUUGCCUCAUGCUUCUCGUUGUUGCCGAGCGCUGCAAUGACGCACGCACGCCCUUCACAUACGCAGAGAGAGAGAAAAGCAUGCAAGAGGCAUUCGAGUGCGAAUCCGUUGAUGAGGUCGUUAGGCAUGCAGCCUCCUCUCCCUCCCCCCCAAGGAGAUGGUGAGACACGGAGCGGAGCAGCAGCAGCAAAUUCAAGCUCGCAUGGAUGAGCUACUCACGCUGCAGCCUCUGUCGCUCUCACGCCGCACUGGCACACCAUGGGCAGCAUCAGCGACACCCGGAAGGAGUAUGGUAGGGGUAGGGGGUGGGGUGCAGUGUUGAGCCGUUCACUUGCCCGUAUGCGCCCCUCUAUGAAUCUGCUUUCCGUUCAGCCGUCAUUGAUCAGCCACCACGACCACCUCCGCACUGAAGCACCCACCACUCGCGACGCAAGCUGACGCCGACCACUUUCUCCAUCUCCUUUCUUUUCUUUUUUGGUUUUUUUUUCAAAACGCCUUGGGUCUGCCUGCGUGGGGAAACGUCUGUGUGUGUGUGCACACGCGUACACACCGUGUCCGUGCGACCACCUCCAACGCCCCCUCACUCGCAAG